UGCCAGCCGCCGCGGUAAUACGGAGGGGGCUAGCGUUGUUCGGAAUCACUGGGCGUAAAGGGCGCGUAGGCGGUCUGACAUGUCUGACGUGAAAGCCCCGGGCUCACCCCGGGAAGUGCGUUGGAAACUGUCAGACUAGAGUCUCGGAGAGGGAGGUGGAAUUCCAGGUGUAGCGGUGAAAUGCGUAGAUAUCUGGAGGAACAUCAGUGGCGAAGGCGGCUCCCUGGCCAAAGACUGACGCUCAUGUGCGAAAGUGUGGGUAGCGAACAGGAUUAGAUA
This 279-nucleotide ribosomal RNA is filed under the name uncultured bacterium. RNAcentral's name for it is "partial 16S ribosomal RNA". It matches the Rfam family "Bacterial small subunit ribosomal RNA", at positions 506 to 784 of the family's 1533-position model. The record is from RNAcentral.